This 492-nucleotide ribosomal RNA is filed under the name uncultured bacterium. RNAcentral describes it as "partial 16S ribosomal RNA". It matches the Rfam family "Bacterial small subunit ribosomal RNA", at positions 29 to 507 of the family's 1533-position model. The record is from RNAcentral.
AGUGAACGCUGGCGGUAGGCCUAACACAUGCAAGUCGAACGGCAGCACAGUAAGAGCUUGCUCUUACGGGUGGCGAGUGGCGGACGGGUGAGGAAUACAUCGGAAUCUACUUUUUCGUGGGGGAUAACGUAGGGAAACUUACGCUAAUACCGCAUACGACCUACGGGUGAAAGCAGGGGAUCUUCGGACCUUGCGCGAUUGAAUGAGCCGAUGUCGGAUUAGCUAGUUGGCGGGGUAAAGGCCCACCAAGGCGACGAUCCGUAGCUGGUCUGAGAGGAUGAUCAGCCACACUGGAAGUGAGACACGGUCCAGACUCCUACGGGAGGCAGCAGUGGGGAAUAUUGGACAAUGGGCGCAAGCCUGAUCUAGCCAUACCGCGUGGGUGAAGAAGGCCUUCGGGUUGUAAAGCCCUUUUGUUGGGAAAGAAAAGCAGCAGGUUAAUACCCCGCUGUUCUGACGGUACCCAAAGAAUAAGCACCGGCUAACUUCGUG